AAAGGAUGUGGGAUCGCGAAGACAACCAGGAGGUUGGCUUAGAAGCAGCCAUCCUUGAAAGAGUGCGUAAUAGCUCACUGGUCGAGUGGUUCUGCGCCGACAAUGUAGUGGGGCUCAAGUACACCGCCGAAGCCGCGGCAAUCAUCUUUUGUGGUGGUUGGGUAGGGGAGCGUCGCGUUACUGCUGUGAAGCGCUGGGGUAACCCUAGUGUGGAGUGUGCGCGAGUGAGAAUGCAGGCAUGAGUAGCGAAUGAGGAGUGGAAAACUCCUCCGCCGAAUGACUAAGGGUUCCUGGGCCAGGUUAAUCCUCCCAGGGUGAGUCGGGACCUAAGGCGAGGCCGACAGGCGUAGUCGAUGGAUAACGGGUUGAUAUUCCCGUACCCGUGUGUCCGCGCCCAUGGUGAAUCAGGGAUACUAACCCACCUGAACACGCGCCUUUCGCUGACCUUUUAGGUUGGUUGGUGUGUGUGAUGCUGGGGACCUGAACUGGUAGUAGCCAAGUGAUGGGGUGACGCAGGAAGGUAGCCGUGCCACGUGAUGGAUAUCGUGGUGUAAGCGUGUGGCCCGUGUUCUAGGUAAAUCCGGAGCACAGUGGGGUGAGGCGUGAUGCGUACCCGUAUUUGGGGAAGUUGGUGAUCCUAUGCUGCCGAGAAAAGCCUCUAGCGAUGUGGAUAUACGGCCCGUACCCGAAACCGACACAGGUAGUCAGGUAGAGAAUACUAAGGCGAUCGGGAGAACUGUGGUUAAGGAACUCGGCAAAAUGCCCCCGUAACUUCGGGAGAAGGGGGGCCAUGACUGGUGACCGACGUGGUUGAGCUGGUUGUGGCCGCAGAGAAUAGAGGGAAGCGACUGUUUACUAAAAACACAGGUCCGUGCGAAGACGUUUAAGUCGAUGUAUACGGACUGACGCCUGCCCGGUGCUGGAAGGUUAAGAGGACCUGUUAGAUCAUUUGUGGUCGAAGCGGAGAAUUUAAGCCCCAGUAAACGGCGGUGGUAACUAUAACCAUCCUAAGGUAGCGAAAUUCCUUGUCGGGUAAGUUCCGACCUGCACGAAUGGCGUAACGACUUCCCUGCUGUCUCAACCACAGACCCGGCGAAAUUGCAGUACGAGUAAAGAUGCUCGUUACGCGCGGCAGGACGAAAAGACCCCGGGACCUUCACUAUAGCUUGGUAUUGGUGUUCGGUUCGGUUUGUGUAGGAUAGGUGGGAGACUGUGAUGCCUCAACGCCAGUUGGGGUGGAGUCGUUGUUGAAAUACCACUCUGAUCGUAUUGGACAUCUCAACCUCGGCCCGUGAUCCGGGUUAGGGACAGUGCCUGGUGGGUAGUUUAACUGGGGCGGUUGCCUCCCAAAGAGUAACGGAGGCGCCCAAAGGUUCCCUCAGCCUGGUUGGCAAUCAGGUGUUGAGUGUAAGUGCACAAGGGAGCUUGACUGUGAGACUGACAGGUCGAGCAGGUAGGAAACUAGGGACUAGUGAUCCGGCACCGGCUUGUGGAAGCGGUG
This 1501-nucleotide ribosomal RNA is filed under the name Corynebacterium sp. HMSC074C04. Its description in RNAcentral is "bacterial LSU rRNA". It matches the Rfam family "Bacterial large subunit ribosomal RNA", at positions 1068 to 2444 of the family's 2925-position model. Lineage: Bacteria; Bacillati; Actinomycetota; Actinomycetes; Mycobacteriales; Corynebacteriaceae. The record is from RNAcentral.